UGAUGACAUAGAAGAAUAAAAUUACUUACUAAAACAAUCUCACAUUAUUAAGGAAAUAUUGCACCUGUGAGGAUAGAUUACAAACAUUAAACAGGUUUAAAAAGGGCAAUUAAAUGCAUGUCAGAAUAUUUCAACUAGGAAGAGUCAAUAAGGAUCUUAAUGCAGGCAUAGUACCAAGGGAAUAUUGCACCCAUGAGGAUAGAUUACAAACAUUAAACAGGUUUAAAAAGGGCAAUUAAAUGCAUGUCAGAAUAUUUCAACUAGGAAGAGUCAAUAAGGAUCUUAAUGCAGGCAUGAGUACCAAGGGAACAAAAAAAAGUGUCUCGUGGAACGAUCAGAGCUAUUUUUAGAAAAAACUUAAUAGUAUGAAAUAUAGAUGGGCA
This 383-nucleotide long non-coding RNA is filed under the name Populus tremula. RNAcentral's name for it is "long non-coding RNA (PTRE_LNC000482)". Lineage: Eukaryota; Viridiplantae; Streptophyta; Magnoliopsida; Malpighiales; Salicaceae. The record is from RNAcentral.